Molecule: ribosomal RNA, 253 nt
Filed under: uncultured bacterium
Lineage: Bacteria
Description: partial 16S ribosomal RNA
Rfam family: Bacterial small subunit ribosomal RNA
Source: RNAcentral
UACGUAGGGUGCAAGCGUUGUCCGGAAUUAUUGGGCGUAAAGGGCGCGUAGGCGGUUUCUUAAGUUUGAAGUGACAGUGGGUGGCUUAACUACCCAAGGCCUUUGAAAACUGGGGAACUUGAGGACCAGAGAGGGACAUAGAAUUCCGGGUGGAGUGGUGAAAUGCGUAGAUAUCGUAAGGAAGACCAGUGGCGAAGGCGAAUCUCUGGACAGUUACUGACACUGAGGCACGAAGGCCAGGGGAGCAAACGGG